UGUCACUUUCUCUUCCACUGUCACCUUCGUUUACCCACCAUCCACCACCACCUCCCACCACCAUUAACCCAUUAUCAAAGUAAAUUGUUUUGAGUUUUCAAAACCCACAUGCAUGCGAAUCAAAUACCCUAAAAAUUCUAUUCAUCAAUCUGCUCAUUAACUAGUUUGGUGUUUUGUUGGUGAAGCUUUUUCAGAAACUAAUGAUGAUGGUGUUUAGAGAGGGAGAGAGAGAAAGGGAAAGGGAAAGAGUUUAAAGAGAGGGUGGUGGUAGAUCUGACAGUUUCCCCAAAAUAAUAUCUGAAUUAGUUUCUAAAUCAAUUGUUAAUGAUUUCCCCCAAAUUAAUUCCGACCCAGAUGAAGUCCUGCUUCUAGACUUACUCCCCAAGUGUUUACACAUUGUAUUUAACUCCGACGAGAUCGAUACGGUCAACGCGGUGUUUGAUCGGGCCUUGGAGUUUAACUCCGACGAGAUCGAUACGGUCAACGUGGUAUUGUAUCUGAAUUAGAAUUCAAAAUCUGUUUUUUUUUGUUGUGAUAAUCGAGAAAAAUAAUUUGUUUGUUGAUUAUCGAAGAAAGAAGAAAAAGUGCAGGUUUUGUGUUUAAUGAAGAAGAAAGGCAUAUAUCUUCAAGUUUUACGAAUAGAAGUGACUUCCAGAUCUGAUUCUGAAUACGACUAGAUCUGAGUUGCAGGUUAUAUGAAGAUAGAUCUGUGAUUAAAAAAGGCUGAAGAUAUUGAAAAAGAAGCCGAUUUGAAAGUUACGACUGAAAAAAAAAAUCGUUGUUUUCUCGAGUGGAAAUCGGAUUGAUUAUUUGUUGUUUUAUGACUGGAUCUGAAACGAUUUAGAAUGAAUUAAGAUUUGCAGGUCUGAUAUUGAAUAUAGAUUCUUGAGUUGCAGCUGAUAUUUUUGUUGAACCGGAGAAGAGAUGGGGUGAGAGAGUGAGGGGUGAAGGGUUGUUAAAUUAUUAUUUUUUUUAUUUUGUAUUUUAAUUAGAUUGGUAAAAAGACCAAAGUGCCCUUAUAUAAAUAGACUUAACUAAAAUUGUAAACCUAGUUAGUGCUAAAGGAUGAAAGAUGUAACGAGUUUUCCAAAUAAAGGAUUGUGACUGUAACUAUUGAAGCUAAAGGUUAUCCAUUGUAAUCCGGUAUAAACAUAAAAGUGUAAUUUAUCAUUUUUUUUUAAGUAUUUAGG
RNAcentral lists this long non-coding RNA (1190 nucleotides) under Helianthus annuus (common sunflower). RNAcentral describes it as "hypothetical non coding rna". The record is from RNAcentral. Lineage: Eukaryota; Viridiplantae; Streptophyta; Magnoliopsida; Asterales; Asteraceae.